CCUACGGGGGGCAGCAGUGAGGAAUAUUGGUCAAUGGACGCAAGUCUGAACCAGCCAUGCCGCGUGCAGGAAGACGGCUCUAUGAGUUGUAAACUGCUUUUGUACGAGGGUAAACGCAGAUACGCGUAUCUUUCUGAACGUAACGUACGAAUAAGGAUCGGCUAACUCCGUGCCAGCAGCCGCGGUAAUACGGAGGAUUCAAGCGUUAUCCGGAUUUAUUGGGUUUAAAGGGUGCGUAGGCGGUCGGAUAAGUUAGAGGUGAAAUCCCGAGGCUCAACUUCGGAAUUGCCUCUGAUACUGUUCGGCUAGAGAGUAGUUGCGGUAGGCGGAAUGUAUGGUGUAGCGGUGAAAUGCUUAGAGAUCAUACAGAACACCGAUUGCGAAGGCAGCUUACCAAGCUACUUCUGACGUUGCGGCACGAAAGCGUGGGGAGCAAACAGGAUUAGAUACCCGAGUAGUC
This 460-nucleotide ribosomal RNA is filed under the name uncultured bacterium. Its description in RNAcentral is "partial 16S ribosomal RNA". It matches the Rfam family "Bacterial small subunit ribosomal RNA", at positions 338 to 795 of the family's 1533-position model. The record is from RNAcentral.